UUCCCGAGGCGCCUCCGAGGAAUUUUGAACUCCCCCCUCGAUCUGCCACGCCAGCCACCACGGCAUUUGAGCUCCCGGCGAGGGUUCGGGCGGCGGCGCAACAUGGCCGGGAAGAAGACCACCCCAGUAAAACCCGCUCCUCCCUCCACCCAGCGCAACGGCGGCGCCACCCCCGGCUCCAAGGGCCGGCCAAAGCAAGCUUCGGGUGAGUCCUCAGCCGCCAGCGCCAAGGCGCGGUCGGCCCCGAAACCUCGCAAAAUCACCCAGGAGAAGCCGGCGGCCGCGAAGAGGAAGCGCGACAAGCCGGAGCCCCAAGAGGGCGGCAAGCGUAAGAAGCAGCAGGCGUCUGGCGACGCGGCGACGCCCGCGAAGAAGAGGAAGAAGGGCGACGGCCCGGAACCCAAGCCCGCGAAGAAGAAGCAGCAACCCGGCAAGCCGGAGAAGCCCGCGACGCCCUCGAAGAAGCAGCAGUCAUCCGGCAAGCCGAAGAAGCCCGCGACGCCCGUUAAGAAGCAGCAGUCACCCGGCAAGCCGGAGAAGCCCCUGACGCCCGCGAAGAAGCAGAAAUCAACCAGCAAAGCGGAGAAGCCCGCGCCCACGCCGAAGAAGCAGCAGCAGUCACCCGGCAAAGCGCGGAAGUCUGCGGCGCCCGCGACCACUCCCACGAAGAAGCAAACCAAGAGCGAGAAGCCCACGCCCACCAAGAGGAAGCGCGGCGACGAUGAGCCCCAAAAUGAGGCCAGGAGCCCGAAGAGAGCUUCCGGCGAUGGGGAUGCGCCCGCAUCUACGCCCCUGAAGAAGAAGCGGAAGGACCAGAAGGCGGCUGCGGCCGACUUGGGUUCGUGCAGCUUCCCGAUGGCGCGGGUGCGGCAGCUGAUGCGGGCCGAGGACGCCACCAUCCGCGCAUCCAAUGAGGCUGUCUUCCUCAUUAAUAAGGCAUCGGAGUUAUUCUUGGGGAAGUUUGCAUGGGAUGCUUAUCGCAAUGCUGUGAAGGAUCGUAAGAAGUCAAUUAUUUACGAUAAUCUUUGUUGUCUAGUAAGACAUACACAAGUUGAAGAAAUACGUAAGACAUACAAACAUGUGUCCUGGCAUGGGCGUUCGAACGCCGCCAAUCCGUGCCCACGGAAACAUGUGUCGCCAGCAGCCACCUUCCGUCACGCCCCAUCCAAUGCACGCCCACGUCGACCUCCAAGGCGCCCUCUACGGCCGGAGUGCCAGGCUCAACACCAGCAACGUCCGGCGCCCCACUCAAGCUGGCGGCUAUUGCCGUCAGGCGGUUCAAACGCCUAUCACCUGAAGAGAUGGCACAACGGCGCCUUGACGGCCUGUGCUUCAACUGCCCCGAGAAGUUCUCGCGCGACCACGUCAAGUACUGCACCGGCAAGGGCAUCUAUCUCCUAGAUUUGGGCGCUGACGAGGAUGCUUCGGACGGCAGUGGAUCUGAUGAUGACCUCAAGGUCUUGGUGGCGGCCAUCACUGGCAUCCAGACGAAUGCUAUGCUUCAACUGGCCACCAUUGCCCGCGACACUCAUGCCAUGGCCCUGGUCGACUCAGGCUCUACUCACUCGUUUGUCGACGAGUCGCUGGCGCAACGUCUCGGCUUUACCCCGGAGCCUUGUCCCGGCCUCUCCGUCGGCAUGGCGAAUGGUGAUCACGUCACCUCUGCGGGGGUGUGCAAGGCGGUGCGCCCCGUCAUUGACAAGGAAGAGUUCACGAUUGACCUUUUCGUCAUUCCCCUAGGCGGCUUCGGCAUCGUCCUUGGCUGCGACUGGCUCCGCUCACUCGACCCCAUCCUCUUGGACUUCACCAACCUGGCCAUGGUGUUUUGGCGGCAGGACCACCGUGUCCAAUGGAGCGGCAUCCGCAACCAGGCCACUCUUGCGCGUGGUGGAGGCCGACGCGCGCGACCUUCUGACUGCCCUUCUAGCUGAGUUCGCGGACUUGUUCGCUGAACCCAAGGGCCUUCGGCCGGCGCAUGCGUUCGACCACCGGAUCCAUCUGUUGCCGGGGACACCACCGGUGGCCGUGCGCCCUUACCUCUAAGCGCAGUUGCUCAAAGAUGAAAUUGAAGCCCAAUGCCAGGCGAUGUUGGCGCAAGGGAUCAUUCUCCAAAGCACGUCAGCUUUCUCAUCUCCGGUGCUCUUGGUUCGCAAAUGCGACGGCUCGUGGCGUUUUUGCGUGGACUAUCGUGCCUUGAACAUCAAGACGGUGCGCGACAAGUUUCCCAUCCCGAUUGUCGAAGAACUGCUGGACGAACUCAAGAGCGCGGUGUUCUUCACCAAGCUGGACCUACGCAGUGGCUAUCAUCAGGUCCGCAUGCACCCCGACUACAUCGCGAAGAUGGCGUUUCGAAAUCAUGACGGGCAUUUUGAGUUCCUAGUGAUGCCAUUUGGCCUCACCAAUGCCCUGUCUACCUUCCAGGUGUUGAUGAACGCUGUGCUGCAGCCGUUCCUCCGUCGGUGCGUCCUCGUUUUCUUUGAUGAUAUCCUUAUCUUCAGCAGGUCAUGGUUGGAACACCUAGAGCACGUCCGCGCUGUCUUCCUCGCACUGCGACAACACGGACUCAUGCUUAAGCGCUCCAAGUGCUCGUUCGGGGAGCAACGGAUCCAAUACUUGGGUCAUGUCAUCGCCGACGGCGUCAUGGCCAUGGACACUAACAAGAUCAGCACAGUGCAAGCGUGGCCCCUGCCCCAUUCCAUUAAGGCGCUUCGCGGCUUCCUCGGGCUCACCGGCUACUAUCGCCGGUUCAUCCACGACUACGGCGCCAUUGACGGCCCUCCUUAAGUGGGAAGCUUUCCAAUGGACAUCGGCGGCAACAACGGCCUUCGAUGCGCUUGCGCUCAAACAGGCUCUCACGUCGGCGCCGGGCCUUCAAUUGCCGGACUUCGACAAGCCCUUCAUCGUCGACUGUGACGCCUCCGGCACGGGCUUUGGCGCGGUGCUUCAUCAAGGAGACGGACCGAUCGCGUUCUUUAGUCGCUUGGUCGCCCCAGAACAUGCCAAGCUUGCUGCGUACAAGCGCGAACUUAUCGGCCUCGUCCAAGUUGUCCGGCACUGGCGGCCGUAUCUCUGGACGCGGGAGUUCAUCGUCCGCACCGAUCACUGCAGCCUCAAGCACCUCCUGGACCAGCGGCUUGCCACCAUUCCGCAGCACAUGAGGGUGAUCGAACAUAUUAACUCCAUGGCGUACCGCCCGCGUCUUCCUCCUAAGGUGCGCAUUCAUGAUGUCUUCCACGUCGUGUUCCUGAAGAAGCACCAUGGCGCGCCACUGUCGUCCGUGGUCGCCCUGCCUCCCAUCGCUCACGGCUGCGUGCUACCGGUCCCGGCUAAGGUCCUUCGGGCUACACCGGCGCGCAAUUCUUGGGCCCUGCUGGUGCAGUGGGAGGGGUGCAGUCCAGCGUAGGCUACAUGGGAGCACCUGCCAAAGUUCAAGGAGAAGUACCCAUCGUCGAAGCUCGAGGACGAGUUUUUUGGUCGAGGGGGGGGGGGGGGGGGAGUGUUGUGGACACUUUCAUUGGCAAGAAAUACCAGCGCAAGAAGAAAGGAAUCGUGGCUACAGCUGAGGAACUGAAAGAUAGUUUUGGUUUUGUUUCCUUUUUAUUCGACUGUAAUUCAGGGAGUGUUUGUUACAUGGAGACUCUAUAUCAUUGUAAGGGCUGCGGCUCAUUAAGGUUAAGCAGAAAAGAUAAUCCCUUGUGUGCUCAGAGCCUCUAGCGAGGGCGAGCCAGGGUGUUAUCAAUCUGCCAUUCGUGUUAUCCUUCCAUAAGCCAUAUCAAAAACAGUCAUUGUAGAUUGUAUAAGUACACCACUGAUGCGCGGGAGACAACUAGUCCCUUAAACAACGUAUAGAUGGCAAUCAAUUUGAUCCUUUU
Molecule: RNA transcript, 3872 nt
Organism: Panicum virgatum (switchgrass)
Lineage: Eukaryota; Viridiplantae; Streptophyta; Magnoliopsida; Poales; Poaceae
Gene name: neurofilament heavy polypeptide-like
Exons: 4
Source: RefSeq, a predicted model, not a curated record